Molecule: ribosomal RNA, 510 nt
Filed under: Triticum aestivum (bread wheat)
Lineage: Eukaryota; Viridiplantae; Streptophyta; Magnoliopsida; Poales; Poaceae
Description: partial small subunit ribosomal RNA
Source: RNAcentral
AUGGGCACGGAGGUGCUCCCGGCCGUUGACAACAAGGGCAAGCAGCCGCUUCACCCAAUGCCCGACGAGGUUGAGCUGCCGCCCACCACCGAGGAAGACCCGAAGACACCUGAGGGCGGCGACGACGAGGGCAUGGAGGAGCCUCCCAGCAACAAGCGCCGCAACUACGGCCACUACCAUCAAGAGGAUGGCCCAACUCACUUCUGCAAGGUCAUCCUUGCACCGAAGCUUGAGUAUAUCCCCAUGCCCCUGGACUUCACCAAGCACUUCGUCACGGUGCCGACAGAGUGCAAACUCAGGAACAACACCGACUGCUCCUGGAAGGUGACGGUCAAGCUGAUGAACGGCAGGGUGACCCUGGAUCAAGGUUGGGCCACCUACACAGCCGUUCAUCAGAUCAAGAUCGACUACAUGGUGACGUUCAAGCUCCUCACUCCAGACACCCUCAAGGUCAUUGUCGGUGUCAAAACCGGCGGAUCUCGGGUAGGGGGUCCCGAACUGUGCAUCUAG